AUGGCGCAGAUCGAGCCCGUGUUUGACCAAGGAAUGGAUCCAUUUCUUGCUAGGCUGACCAUACCAGCAGCCAACACUAGCCAAUCCCGAUGCACACCUCACAAUGGUUUGUCCUUGCUCAAUCGGCCUUCUCUCGACACACCCUCGUCUUUGGAAGGUUCACCAGUGCCACCACCGCCAUCCUUGUUCUCCUGCAAUUGCAGCUGUGAUAUCGGAAGCAACUUUGAGGCGUUUGCAACUGUAAUGUCGCGGCUACACCAACACCUUCUGGAUGCAGAUGUAGAGAUCAACUACACAGACUACUUAGAUUUGAUGAAACUGGAAGUCGAUCAACAGCUUAAUAGGCUCAAGGAGGAUAUGAUGCUCUUGAGAAGCCAGAACUUUGUUCAUGACAGUGAUGCAGAUGUUUCAUGCCCUGUGAUAUGCCAUCAUGGAAAGCCAAUAGUAGAGAUAGAUGAGGUGUUCAAUGACCUUAAGCUACUCUUGAUACUGGUGUUCCGGCAAAUUAAGGACAUGUUGAGCCUGUUCAACGCUUCAAUUCACGAUCUUCAGUGGGAGCAUGACUUGCAAUUAGAGGUCACCGGCAUUAUGAUUGGAGACUGUAUCAGAACUCUUGAGGAUGAGCUAGAGAGGAGGUUUUUUGAACAAAGUUCCAUUGUUAACAAUCUAAGGGAGAACCGGAAGGAAACUGUGGUUCAGUGCGGUGCAAUCCGUCAAGAGUUGAUGUCUAUUUCGGAUAUGCUGUUACCUUCAGAAGAUGAAUCACAUAGUCCCCGCAGUAAGCAUGAAAAUCUGGGUAACAGGAGUAACAGAUGGAAAUACAAUCUCUUAAGAAAUAAAACAGGGGAGGAACACUCUGCAUCUUCCAGUGUGGAAACCAAGAAGUCUGCAACACAGAGAUCUGUAAGUCCCAGAGAAGUAAUUUCUGAAAAAUCCGACUUUCGGCAUCUCAAGGGUUCAACUGGGGAAGAAAUCAUAAACUACUUCAGAUCUGAGAUUAGUAAAUUAAAGAGGUUGCAUGAAUUGUACUUACAAGAUAAAACGGAAGAGCUGUUCAAAUUCAAACGAGAGAAGGCGUCAUUAGAUCUUAAGCAUGAUCUAGAAUUUGAGCAUCUAAGAAAGAAAGUUCCUGACAUCAUUUCAAGGGUUGACACAAUCAUUGCUAGUACCAUAAAGGCACCUACAGUUUGCAGCACUAGCGAGGCACUUGAGGAAAAUUGCAGAUUGGAUAAUAAAAUUGAUUCAUUGUACCUUGAAAACCAGCACCUUAGAGGUUUGCUUGCAGAAAAGAUGAAUGAUAUUAAGGAAUUAUCGUGCCAGAUAUCUGAUGCCAGGAGGGAAAUAUCACUUCGAUUGUCACUUGAAGAACAAAUUAUGAGACAAGUCGGCAUCAUUAAAGGAGACUAUGAGGAUCUCUAUGUUGAAAGCACUAUUAGAGAUGAAGUAUACCGAACUGUGACAAGAAAUUUUGUUGAUGACUGUAGGACCAGCAUGGAAGAUGCCUCACGGAAUUCUCAAGCAGAAGUGUCCUCACUUGAAGCUAAACUCUCAGAAAGGGAGAAGGCAUUGCGUUUAGCUAAUGAAGAAAAUCAGAAGCUAACAGAAAAGUUGUUGUUACUAGAAAAGGAACACUUCAUUGAAAAUAAUCAUGAAAAUCCAGAGCUAACCAAGCAAGAGAGUGAUGAAAUGAUACUUCGUGAUAUCGAGAUGGAGCCUCAUGUAUCAGCAAGAUCAUACGAGAGUUGUGAGCAGAGUAUGGAGGAUAAGGAGCUCGUCAAACUGAGCCAGACUACAGAGAUUGCCUCAACUACCUUACAUGAAGUUGAAACAAAAAAGUUGGAAUACAAUGGGUUUCUAGGCAAAAAUGAGCACAUAAUACAACUAGAUUUCAUUAUGGUAUCUAUUAUGGAUUUAUCAAAAGAAUUUGUGGAGAUUGAACAUAAAAUUUCAGGAGACAUCAAAGGAAAUGAGAAAAGAUCAGAUGAUCUGAGGGAUCAAUGCAACCAUGUGGUUCAACAGGCAAUAGUACUAACAAAGAAGGGCCUCUCAUAUAAGCAAAUGCUAGACCGAAGACGGUCCGAGCUUCGAAAAGCUGAAGCUGAGGUUGACAUUUUGGAAAACAAGGUUACUGCACUCCUAAGUAUUGCGCAAAAGAUAUAUGUGACUCUCGAGCAUUAUUCUCCCGUCUUUCAGCAGUAUCCUGGGUUACUGGGUGCUUUCUUGAAGACAUGCAAGCUUGUUGCAGGUCUAAGGAAUAAACAAAAGGAUGACUUACAAGAUACAACAUAA
RNAcentral lists this ribosomal RNA (2289 nucleotides) under Triticum aestivum (bread wheat). Its description in RNAcentral is "partial small subunit ribosomal RNA". The record is from RNAcentral. Lineage: Eukaryota; Viridiplantae; Streptophyta; Magnoliopsida; Poales; Poaceae.